This 971-nucleotide ribosomal RNA is filed under the name uncultured bacterium. RNAcentral's name for it is "bacterial SSU rRNA". It matches the Rfam family "Bacterial small subunit ribosomal RNA", at positions 61 to 1004 of the family's 1533-position model. The record is from RNAcentral.
GUCGCACGAGAACGCUUCAGCUUGCUGAAGCUAGUAAAGUGGCGAACGGGUGAGUAACGCGUGGGUAACCUACCUCCGAAUUGGGGAUAACAUUGCGAAAGCGAUGCUAAUACCGAAUGACAUCCAUGUGACUUCGGUGGCAUGGAUCAAAGGUGGCCUCUACAUGUAAGCUACUGUUUGGAGAUGGGCCCGCGUACCAUUAGCUUGUUGGUGGGGUAAAGGCUCACCAAGGCGACGAUGGUUAGCUGUUCUGAGAGGAUGAUCAGCCACACUGGAACUGACACACGGUCCAGACUCCUACGGGAGGCAGCAGUGAGGAAUUUUGCGCAAUGGGGGAAACCCUGACGCAGCAACGCCGCGUGAGUGAUGAAGGCUUUCGGGUCGUAAAGCUCUGUCAAGUGGGAAGAAACCGCGUGGUGUCAAUAACACCAAGCGCUGACGGUACCACUGAAGGAAGCACCGGCUAACUCCGUGCCAGCAGCCGCGGUAAUACGGGGGGUGCAAGCGUUACUCGGAAUCACUGGGCGUAAAGGGCGCGCAGGCGGUUUGGCAAGUCAGAUGUGAAAGCCCGGGGCUUAACCCCGGAAGUGCAUCUGAAACUGCUGAACUUGAGUAUGGGAGAGGGAAGUGGAAUUCCUGGUGUAGCGGUGAAAUGCGUAGAUAUCAGGAGGAACACCGGUGGCGAAGGCGACUUCCUGGACCAAUACUGACGCUGAGGCGCGAAGGCGUGGGGAGCAAACAGGAUUAGAUACCCUGGUAGUCCACGCAGUAAACGGUGAACACUAGGUGUAGUGGGUAUUGACCCCCGCUGUGCCGCAGCUAACGCAUUAAGUGUUCCGCCUGGGGAGUACGGCCGCAACGUUAAAACUCAAGGAAUUGACGGGGGCCCGCACAAGCGGUGGAGCAUGUGGUUUAAUUCGACGCAACGCGAAGAACCUUACCUGGGUUUGACAUCCCGGGAGUCCUUUUGA